UCCGGAGGGUGCAAUCGUUGUUUGGAAUUACUGGGCGUAAAGGGCGUGUAGGCGGCUUGGCAAGUCAGAUGUGAAAGCCCUGGGCUUAACCCAGGAAGUGCAUUUGAAACUGCCAGGCUAGAGUAUGGGAGAGGAGAGUGGAAUUCCCAGUGUAGAGGUGAAAUUCGUAGAUAUUGGGAGGAACACCGGUGGCGAAGGCGACUCUCUGGACCAAUACUGACGCUGAGACGCGAAAGCGUGGGGAGCAAACAGG
RNAcentral lists this ribosomal RNA (253 nucleotides) under uncultured bacterium. RNAcentral's name for it is "partial 16S ribosomal RNA". It matches the Rfam family "Bacterial small subunit ribosomal RNA", at positions 524 to 776 of the family's 1533-position model. The record is from RNAcentral.